UUAGCUAAAGAAGAAGGG
This 18-nucleotide small nuclear RNA is filed under the name Arabidopsis thaliana (thale cress). RNAcentral describes it as "snRNA_16505". Lineage: Eukaryota; Viridiplantae; Streptophyta; Magnoliopsida; Brassicales; Brassicaceae. The record is from RNAcentral.